UACAGAGGGUGCAAGCGUUAAUCGGAAUUACUGGGCGUAAAGCGUGCGUAGUCGGCUUUUCAAGUCGGGUGUGAAAGCCCCGGGCUCAACCUGGGAAUUGCAUUCGAUACUGGAUGGCUAGAGUUCGGCAGAGGGAAGCGGAAUUUCCGGUGUAGCGGUGAAAUGCGUAGAUAUCGGAAGGAACAUCAGUGGCGAAAGCGACUUCCUGGACCAGAACUGACGAUCAGGCACGAAAGCGUGGGGAGCAAACAGGAUUAGAAACCCCCGUAGUCC
This 273-nucleotide ribosomal RNA is filed under the name uncultured bacterium. RNAcentral describes it as "partial 16S ribosomal RNA". It matches the Rfam family "Bacterial small subunit ribosomal RNA", at positions 524 to 796 of the family's 1533-position model. The record is from RNAcentral.